ACGUCUGUAGCUCAGUGGAUAGAGUGUCUAUUCCAUAAGUAGAAAGUCAUUGGUUCGAACCUGUAUAACGCG
RNAcentral lists this transfer RNA (72 nucleotides) under Salix viminalis (osier). It matches the Rfam family "tRNA". Rfam says of the family: Transfer RNA (tRNA) molecules are approximately 80 nucleotides in length. Their secondary structure includes four short double-helical elements and three loops (D, anti-codon, and T loops). The record is from RNAcentral. Lineage: Eukaryota; Viridiplantae; Streptophyta; Magnoliopsida; Malpighiales; Salicaceae.